RNAcentral lists this ribosomal RNA (482 nucleotides) under uncultured bacterium. Its description in RNAcentral is "bacterial SSU rRNA". It matches the Rfam family "Bacterial small subunit ribosomal RNA", at positions 30 to 506 of the family's 1533-position model. The record is from RNAcentral.
UUGAACGCUGGCGGCAUGCUUUACACAUGCAAGUCGAACGGUAACAGGGAGCUUGCUCCGCUGACGAGUGGCGAACGGGUGAGUAAUGCAUCGGAACGUACCCAGUCGUGGGGGAUAACGUAGCGAAAGUUACGCUAAUACCGCAUAUGCCCUACGGGGGAAAGGGGGGGAUCGCAAGACCUCUCGCUUUCGGAGUGGCCGAUAUCAGAUUAGCUAGUUGGUGGGGUAAAGGCCUACCAAGGCGACGAUCUGUAGCUGGUCUGAGAGGACGACCAGCCACACUGGGACUGAGACACGGCCCAGACUCCUACGGGAGGCAGCAGUGGGGAAUUUUGGACAAUGGGGGAAACCCUGAUCCAGCCAUGCCGCGUGAGUGAAGAAGGCCUUCGGGUUGUAAAGCUCUUUCAGCCGGAAAGAAAUCGCACUGGUUAAUACCUUGUGUGGAUGACGGUACCGGAAGAAGAAGCACCGGCUAACUACGU